GAUGAACGCUGGCGGCGUGCCUAAUACAUGCAAGUCGAGCGAACAGAUGAGGAGCUUGCUCCUCUGACGUUAGCGGCGGACGGGUGAGUAACACGUGGAAAACCUACCUAUAAGACUGGGAUAACUUCGGGAAACCGGAGCUAAUACCGGAUAAUAUAUUGAACCGCAUGGUUCAAUAGUGAAAGACGGUUUUGCUGUCACUUAUAGAUGAAUCCGCGCCGCAUUAGCUAGUUGGUAAGGUAACGGCUUACCAAGGCAACGAUGCGUAGCCGACCUGAGAGGGUGAUCGGCCACACUGGAACUGAGACACGGUCCAGACUCCUACGGGAGGCAGCAGUAGGGAAUCUUCCGCAAUGGGCGAAAGCCUGACGGAGCAACGCCGCGUGAGUGAUGAAGGUCUUCGGAUCGUAAAACUCUGUUAUUAGGGAAGAACAAAUGUGUAAGUAACUAUGCACGUCUUGACGGUACCUAAUCAGAAAGCCACGGCUAACUACGUG
Molecule: ribosomal RNA, 497 nt
Filed under: uncultured bacterium
Lineage: Bacteria
Description: partial 16S ribosomal RNA
Rfam family: Bacterial small subunit ribosomal RNA
Source: RNAcentral